This 704-nucleotide long non-coding RNA is filed under the name Nicotiana benthamiana. Its description in RNAcentral is "long non-coding RNA (NBEN_LNC015979)". Lineage: Eukaryota; Viridiplantae; Streptophyta; Magnoliopsida; Solanales; Solanaceae. The record is from RNAcentral.
GGGUAGUUCAAUGAAGGUGUUAAUGGUGGUUGGCGUGAGAUGGGGUUAAAAUAAUUGGCAAAAGGAUCAAACAUGGAGGCAUUUUGUGUGUGAAAAUUAGCAGAAGAAAAAGAAUCAGCAGCAGCAGCACGUGAAUCGUACUCUUCAUCACCACCACCACUUGAUGACUGUAGACUUGCACUGUUGUUUCCAGAAUCCAUUUAAAAGAGGAUAACAGCUCAGAGAACAAAAGGAAUAACGAAAGAAGAAGAAACAACAAAGGACAGAGAUAUGGAGAGAGAGAAUUUUUUGUUGGUUUUAGUGCACAAAAGAUUUUGUUACUUACUGCAAAAAACCAAUUAAAGAAGAAGCCAAUCAGAUAUGUAUUUUCAGAAAAGUACCCUCCAAUAUGACUUCAAACCUCUGAUAAAACAUGAUGAUCUGCACAAAAGAAGAAGAAGAUGAUGAUGAUGCUACUAGUACAAUUACUCCUUUUUCCCAUGCUCUUUUUAAUUUGCCUCUGAGCCAGAACAAGUACUGUUACAAACGACACAAGAGAUGAGAUUAUCAUAAAGGUGAAAAAUAGAUGAGAUCAAUAAACCUCUGUUAUUUUUUUGCCUUCUAUAGGUACUGCGUGCUACAACUAGGGUUUUCAGCAGAGAGAAAUAAAGCAAAAAGAAAAAAAUGAGAGAAAGAAAGGGAGAAAUGAAGAAGAAGGUUUAAAC